RNAcentral lists this ribosomal RNA (323 nucleotides) under uncultured bacterium. RNAcentral describes it as "bacterial SSU rRNA". It matches the Rfam family "Bacterial small subunit ribosomal RNA", at positions 485 to 805 of the family's 1533-position model. The record is from RNAcentral.
AAUAAGGAUCGGCUAACUCCGUGCCAGCAGCCGCGGUAAUACGGAGGAUUCGAGCGUUAUGCCGGAUUUAUUGGGGUUAAAGGGUCCGUAGGCGGAUUUGUAAGUCAGGGGUGAAAUCCCACUGCUCAACUGUGGAACUGCCAUUGAUACUGCAGAUCUUGAAUAUAGUUGAGGUAGGCGGAAUGCGUUAUGUAGCGGUGAAAUGCAUAGAUAUGACGUCAGAACACCGAUUGCGAAGGCAGCUUACUAAGCUAUUAUUGACGCUGAUGGACGAAAGCGUGGGGAGGGAAGAGGAUUAGAUACCCUGGUAGUCCACGCCGUAA